Molecule: ribosomal RNA, 108 nt
Filed under: Bifidobacterium longum subsp. suis
Lineage: Bacteria; Bacillati; Actinomycetota; Actinomycetes; Bifidobacteriales; Bifidobacteriaceae
Also listed under: 1 other name
Source: RNAcentral
CAUGGCCCAGGAGAGACGCCCGGUCCCAUUCCGAACCCGGAAGCUAAGGCCUGGCACGGCGAUGGUACUGCACCCGACAGGGUGUGGGAGAGUAGCACGCCGCCGCAC